CAGACAGUGGGCUCAGUGGGAAGAGUAGUUGUCUUGCAAUCAGAAGGUUGUGGGUUUGAUUCCAGCUCCCUCCUGACUGG
Molecule: non-coding RNA, 80 nt
Organism: Ataeniobius toweri
Lineage: Eukaryota; Metazoa; Chordata; Actinopteri; Cyprinodontiformes; Goodeidae
Source: the annotation of a GenBank genome assembly